GCGCGAGUGGUGAAAUGGCAGACACGCAUGUUUGAGGGGCAUGUCCCGCAAGGGGUGGGGGUUCAAGUCCCCCCUCGCGCA
This 81-nucleotide transfer RNA is filed under the name Omnitrophica bacterium RIFCSPHIGHO2_02_FULL_45_28. RNAcentral's name for it is "tRNA-Leu". It matches the Rfam family "tRNA". From Rfam's summary of the family: Transfer RNA (tRNA) molecules are approximately 80 nucleotides in length. Their secondary structure includes four short double-helical elements and three loops (D, anti-codon, and T loops). The record is from RNAcentral. Lineage: Bacteria; Pseudomonadati; Candidatus Omnitrophota. RNAcentral also lists the same sequence under 2 other names.